GAAAUGCGAUAAGUAAUGUGAAUUGCAGAAUUCAGUGAAUCAUCGAAUCUUUGAACGCACCUUGCGCUCCUUGGUAUUCCUUGGAGCAUGCCUGUUUGAGUAUCAUGAAAUCUUCAAAGUAAAUCUUUUGUUAACUCAAUUGGUUUCUACUUUGGUAUUGGAGGUCUUUGCAGCUUCACACCUGCUCCUCUUUGUUCAUUAGCUGGAUCUCAGUGUUAUGCUUGGUUCCACUCGGCGUGAUAAGUUAUCUAUCGCUGAGGACACUGUAAAAGGUGGCCAAGGUAAAUGCAGAUGAACUGCUUCUAAUAGUCCAUUGACUUGGACAAUACUUUUAUGAUUUGAUCUCAAAUCAGGUAGGACUACCCGCUGAACUUAAGC
RNAcentral lists this unclassified non-coding RNA (378 nucleotides) under plant metagenome. RNAcentral describes it as "partial contains 5.8S ribosomal RNA, internal transcribed spacer 2, and large subunit ribosomal RNA". The stretch from base 1 to 105 matches the Rfam family "5.8S ribosomal RNA", at positions 50 to 154 of the family's 154-position model. The record is from RNAcentral.